This 376-nucleotide ribosomal RNA is filed under the name uncultured bacterium. Its description in RNAcentral is "bacterial SSU rRNA". It matches the Rfam family "Bacterial small subunit ribosomal RNA", at positions 524 to 898 of the family's 1533-position model. The record is from RNAcentral.
UACGUAGGUGGCGAGCGUUGUUCGGAUUUAUUGGGCGUAAAGGGUCCGCAGGGGGUUUGCUAAGUCUGAUGUGAAAUCCCGGAGCUCAACUCCGGAACGGCAUUGGAGACUGGCGGACUUGAGUGCUGGAGAGGCAAGCGGAAUUCCAGGUGUAGCGGUGGAAUGCGUAGAUAUCUGGAAGAACACCGAUAGCGUAGGCAGCUUGCUGGACAGUAACUGACCCUCAUGGACGAAAGCGUGGGGAGCAAACAGGAUUAGAUACCCUGGUAGUCCACGCCGUAAACGUUGUGAACUUGAUGCGGGGGGAUUUACCCCUUUCCGUGUCGAAGCUAACGCGAUAAGUUCACCGCCUGGGGACUACGGCCGCAAGGCUAAA